AGGAAGACAGGAAGAAAAGUUGGUGGGAGGAGGAGGAGGAGACACCAGAGGGGUCGGCUCGGGUUUCAGGUGUUUGGGGCCACCUCAUAUGAGAUGCUUGAAACAGUUGGAAACGAGGGCUGUGACUCAGGCGACGGGUCAGCCUGCUGACAGAUUUGGGAGGCUGCUGCACGGAAGGGGAAUUUGAAACAUGGGCUGGAUCAGCACGGAGGAUUGGGCAGGGAGAAGGCCAAGGCUCAAGUGGAGAAACAGCCAUCAAAAUUAAAGUAGGAAGGAGGGAAGAGCCAGCAAAGGGGGUGGUGAGCGGUGAUAGGAAGACAGCAAGCCAGGCACAGCGGUCAGGGACAUCAGUGAUGACCAAGAAGCGGCCUCCAGGAGAGGCAGAUGUUACAGGUGCCUUUCCCCGUGACGUCUGGAGGAAAUACUGGCUUGUAACCUCGCAGGCCACUGGACCCCUUGAGUCUCAAUUUCUUUGAGUCAAAUUGGGGUCAUUUUCUGUCCUACCAGCCCCAUCUGCCCUUGUGUGACGAUCAAGUAAGAUAAGUGUAAAACCACCGGCCAUCUGCUCCAUUCCAGCUGUAACAGGAACUAGACUGUGGACAGUGUUGAUGUGAGGCCUCCAGGGAAGAGGAUUAAAGUAUAUCGGAGCUCUUGUUCCUUUGUUCAGGCUUGACACAGUCUCCUUUGUCACCAGUCGAUGAAAAACCACCCGAAGAAGUAUGUGCAUGGUCCAGAACACGGGCUCUGGAGUUCCUGUGUGACUUUGGACGAGUUGAUCACCUUAAACCUCUACUGCUCAUUUGUGAAGAAGAGAGAAUUAGCAACACCUGUCCAAGGAUUUCGAGGAUUCGCAACAAUCCACGGUUCAACAAGGGUGCACAGAGACCCAAGAGUGUGGAAGAGGAAGCCAUAGAGUGAUGGAAUAAAUAACUGGUUUCCUUGAAAAUGAAUGACAAAGUCAUUUGGUACAUUUUCCCUCCUUUUUUUAGCACUAAGUUCAUUGACCUGACUACUCAGAAAAAAUUAAAACAUGAUGAUAUCAA
Pan troglodytes (chimpanzee) is the source of this 1043-nucleotide long non-coding RNA. RefSeq lists it as uncharacterized. The transcript has 3 exons. The record is from RefSeq and is a predicted model, not a curated record. Lineage: Eukaryota; Metazoa; Chordata; Mammalia; Primates; Hominidae.